This 568-nucleotide ribosomal RNA is filed under the name uncultured bacterium. RNAcentral's name for it is "bacterial SSU rRNA". It matches the Rfam family "Bacterial small subunit ribosomal RNA", at positions 338 to 916 of the family's 1533-position model. The record is from RNAcentral.
CCUACGGGAGGCAGCAGUGGGGAAUAUUGCACAAUGGGCGAAAGCCUGAUGCAGCGACGCCGCGUGAGGGAUGACGGCCUUCGGGUUGUAAACCUCUUUCAGCAGGGAAGAAGCGAAAGUGACGGUACCUGCAGAAGAAGCGCCGGCUAACUACGUGCCAGCAGCCGCGGUAAUACGUAGGGCGCGAGCGUUGUCCGGAAUUAUUGGGCGUAAAGAGCUCGUAGGCGGCUUGUCACGUCGGGUGUGAAAGCCCGGGGCUUAACCCCGGGUCUGCAUUCGAUACGGGCUAGCUAGAGUGUGGUAGGGGAGAUCGGAAUUCCUGGUGUAGCGGUGAAAUGCGCAGAUAUCAGGAGGAACACCGGUGGCGAAGGCGGAUCUCUGGGCCAUUACUGACGCUGAGGAGCGAAAGCGUGGGGAGCGAACAGGAUUAGAUACCCUGGUAGUCCACGCCGUAAACGGUGGGAACUAGGUGUUGGCGACAUUCCACGUCGUCGGUGCCGCAGCUAACGCAUUAAGUUCCCCGCCUGGGGAGUACGGCCGCAAGGCUAAAACUCAAAUGAAUUGACGG